Molecule: ribosomal RNA, 497 nt
Filed under: uncultured bacterium
Lineage: Bacteria
Description: partial 16S ribosomal RNA
Rfam family: Bacterial small subunit ribosomal RNA
Source: RNAcentral
GAUGAACGCUGGCGGCGUGCCUAAUACAUGCAAGUCGAGCGAACGGACGAGAAGUUUGCUGCUCUGAUGUUAGCGGCGGACGGGUGAGUCACAUGUGGAUAACCUACCUAUAAGACUGGUAUAAUUACGGGAAACCGGAGCUAAUACCGGAUGAUAUUUUGAACCGCAUGGUGCAAAAGUGAAAUACGGUCUUGCUGUCACUUAUAGCUGGAUACGAGCUGCAUUAGCUGGUUGGUAAGGUAACUGCUUAUCAAGGCUACGAUGCAUAGCCGACCUGAGAGGGUGGUCGGCCACACGGGAAGUGAGACACGGUCCAGACUCCUACGGUAGGCAGCAGUAGGAAAUCUUACGCAAUGGUGGAGAGCCUGACGGAGCGACGCCGCGGGAGUGAUGACGGUGUCCGGAUCGGAAAACUCUGUUAUUAGGGGAAAACAUAUGUGUAAGUAACUGUGCACAUAUUGACGGUACCUAGUCAAAAAGCCACGGCUAACUACGUG